GCCGGGUGUGGUGGUGCGCGCCUGUAAUCCUAGCUACUCAGGAGGCUGAGGCAGGAGAAUUGCUUGAACCCAGGAGGCGGAGGUUGCAAUGAGCUGAGAUCAUGCCAUUGCACUCCAGCCUGGGUGACAGUGCAAGACUCUGUCUCAA
This 148-nucleotide signal recognition particle RNA is filed under the name Homo sapiens (human). RNAcentral describes it as "Metazoan signal recognition particle RNA". It matches the Rfam family "Metazoan signal recognition particle RNA". Rfam says of the family: The signal recognition particle (SRP) is a universally conserved ribonucleoprotein. It is involved in the co-translational targeting of proteins to membranes. Lineage: Eukaryota; Metazoa; Chordata; Mammalia; Primates; Hominidae. The record is from Rfam by way of RNAcentral.